Molecule: ribosomal RNA, 209 nt
Filed under: uncultured bacterium
Lineage: Bacteria
Description: partial 16S ribosomal RNA
Rfam family: Bacterial small subunit ribosomal RNA
Source: RNAcentral
CUCCAGUUCGGAUCGGAGUCUGCAACCCGACUCCGUGAAGCUGGAUUCGCUAGUAAUCGCGCAUCAGCCAUGGCGCGGUGAAUACGUUCCCGGGCCUUGUACACACCGCCCGUCAAGCCAUGGGAGCCGGGAGUGCCUGAAGUGCGUGACCGUAAAAGGAGCGCCCUAGGGCAAGACCGAUGACUGGGGCUAAGUCGUAACAAGGUAUC